Long non-coding RNA from Fukomys damarensis (Damara mole-rat), 3445 nucleotides. RefSeq lists it as uncharacterized. The transcript has 10 exons. Lineage: Eukaryota; Metazoa; Chordata; Mammalia; Rodentia; Bathyergidae. The record is from RefSeq and is a predicted model, not a curated record.
AGGUAUGUCAGUACGGAGAGACGAAGGUAAGAGAAACGCCAAUGGGUGAGAAAAAACUGCAGGUCACACUCUGUUGAAGUUAUUUAUAAGUGAAGUAAAGGACUUGUGUUGAGGGAACUUAGAGAGUAAUACGUAGGCAAGAGAAAGUAUGAGGAGGAGUGGAAUUUACGUAGCGAUUUAGAGGGGCUAUGAGAUUGUUAGCAUCUGUUGAGGUAUUUGUGGGUAAUAUUGUUUCAUUCCUCCAAGAUUAAUUUUGUUCAGGGUUGCCCUGACGUGCCCUUCAGUAGUAUUGUUUAACUUGUAGUGCGGAUUAGUUCUUCCUCUCUAGGGCACCGAUGCAUUCACCUGUUUUAUUUAUAGCAUUAGAUAGACGGGGAGGAGAAGGGGAAAGGCAAGGAGGGGAGGUAAUGGGAAGUGGAGGAAAACUACCAAUAAGAUGCAGAGAGAGUUGUAAGAUAGAAGGAGGACACAUUACAAGAGGGAGCAGCCAAGGGGAAACUUCUGAAAUUUAAAGUAUUGUAAUCAACCAGUACCCAUAAAGAAGAACCAAAAGAAAUAAGAAUAUGAAAAAUGAAAACAGAGAUCACAAGGAAAGGAAGAAAAGAGAGCCCAAGUCCAUAACUGAAAUUACCAACAUAACAAUAACAAAGAUCAACUCAGUGGUUCCGCUGCCUGCCUCACAAGUGCAAGGUCCUGAGUUUGAUUCCUGGUACCAAAACAAAUAAGAAUAAAAACCUUCAUACAGUUGUUAUAGCGUUGACUCAGUUUCCGUACAGCUCCCUGUAGCACAGUAUGACUGUAUGGUUUUUAUUAUCUGUACGCUUUCCCCUUGUGGGGCAGAUAUUUGCCUGCCUAAAUCCUUGAGAAUCUUUGAUUUUCCUAACUUUUGUCCUGAUUCCAAGCCCUGGGCAUGUCCCUCUGCAGAUGUCCAUGGUGCAAUUACUUUUAUCAACCUGAAAGAUAAAUAUCAUGGCCUUUUCUUUGUCUUCCCUCCACAGAUUUCCCUGGCCUAAUUUGUGGCCAGAAAGAAUACAGACCGGGUGCUGAUGGCGCUGAUGUGUGUUUCAGCCCCAUCCGCAGAAACAGCAGGAGGGCUCUCUGGCUUGACUUUGUUCAAUGUGAUUAUCACAGGACCGGUUUUCCCUUGCUUCUGAGCUGUUCUCAGAUUUUGCCUGCACCAGUUUUGCCUUCCCGGGUUGCUCAGCGCCCUCCCACCCCGUCAGAGUCCACGGUCUUGGGUGGGUGCUAAAUGUUCCAGGUACAGCACUGUCAUGGUAUGAAUGGAAAAACAGGAGGCUUGCACGGUGGCGGUUGUUGCUGUUGCUGUUGCUGCUGUUUUGCUGGGAAAAUCUGUUUGCCCAGUGUGCCCCUGCUCACCACUCUAAAGCCCCCGGCUGCCUAUCUUCGGCCUGCUAAUGUCUGACUUUCUGCCUCACAUCAUAACGAUGUCACCCACUCUCCCCAAAUAUCAUUGUGCAGUGUGAAAACCCACAGCCGACCACUCAUACUUGUCUCAUCCACGUACACUCCUACCAUUGGAACACCAUUCCUUGUAAAUCCCUCAGCAGGAGCAGAAAAGAUGAAGCUUCCUGUUCUUGGAUAUUCAGCCUCCAAAAUUGUGGUCUAAAUAAGCCCUUCCUUCUGAAAUGCACAGCUGCAGGGGGCAUGUUCCCUUGCAAUGCUGAGUUGUAAUUUAUUGAAUGGACAUAUCACAAUUUUCCCAUCUUCUUGUCACUUGCUGGAUAUUUGGAUUGAUUCAGGACUGUGGCUAUUCCGCAAAGAAAGCAAGGCGCCCUCUCUUUCCCAGCUAAUUAGCACAUCACUGGAAGGUGGGCAGCGGAGGACCCCCAGGAGUCAGGGCUGCAGCAUAUCUACCUGGCCCCCUGGAGCUCCUGUAACCCGGAGUCUUCACAUUUCGCUGUAUGCCCGUGAUUACCCACCUUCUGGAACAAAGCCGGCAGCCUCUGUCAUUUGUCCUGAAGGAAGCACCACAGCUAAUUAACCAUUUAAUAGAGAACCGGCAUUCCCUUUGGCUGAGGAUCCAGAUGAUUUGAGGAAGAGAAUUGGGAGUAGUGUUGAAUCUCCAUGCAAACGGCAGUCACGCAAGGCAGUCGUCCAGCUUAUAGGCAGAAGCAUCAUGAACUUGAAUGUUGCACAUAAAGAAAAAGUAAUACAACGCAGAGGAUCUCUUUUCAGUUUCUGAAAUUGCUAGUACAUCUCCACACUGCUAUUGCAAAUGGAAUACUAGAAACCAUUAACGUUCCUGUGGGUGAAGAAAAUAUUAUUCUUUGGUCUCUGCUACUUCUGGCACCAACAUAGAGUCACUGAGACACCUCACUUGCUUCUGGACCUGCAAAUGCAAUCCGGGGACAUUUAACAAAAAAGCCAGCAAAAGGACAAUACGAUGUCGUGAAAUAUUUCUACAUUAUCCCUGGUACCAGAAAAAAAGAAAAAGAUAUUCACUGACACAUGUACUAAUCUCUUCUGUGUCGAACCGAAACCUUGUCUACUUUGACCAGUAUCUCCUACCUGCUCCAGUCACUGAUAACCACUAUCACCAGCCUGCUUCUGACUUGGAGUCUUUAGAUUCCACACAUAAGUGGGGUUGUGCAGCAUAAUCUGUGCCUGGUAUUUCAGGAGUCAUCCUUCAUGUGGGUGACUAAAUGCAACAGUUUCUGUAAAUGAAGGAGGGGUGAUUCAGCUCCGCCAUCUGGAACGUAACACUACACAGUCAGUUUCUUAAAGGGCACAGCUUCCCCCGCCUGCACCUGUUAGACGCUAACACUGAGGAAGCAGCUCUGUGAACCACGGCCCUCACCGUGGCUGUUUCAGAUUGCAAAGCCUCCAGCUAGUGUCUGGCACUGUUCGGACUUACGCAGACAGAUCUUUGAAAAGCUUCCUCCUCCGUUGUGAUUACCAAGGUUGUCACUUCAACACCGGAAUCGAUCUACUGAUGGCACGGCCGGGAGUCAUGGGACUUAGGAGGUGUGGCCUGGUCCAAGGGUGCAGGGUGGGUGUCACGCUGGGGAUGACCCUUACUUUCCGGCCCUUUCCCUGGGUCUCUGUCUGUCACACUCGUUCACUCACUUCCCUCUCUCCCUCGCUCUCCCUCUCUCACGCUCCCCUCCAGCUGCCACAGGGUGAGCAGCUGUGCUCUGCCACCCCCACCUGCCAUGAUGUUUCUUCCUUGCCAAAGGACUAAAAGCAAUGGAUACAGCUGACUGUGGCUCUGAAACUGUAAGCCAAAAUCAUUUUUUUGAGUAAGGUCUCGCUAUGUAGUCACUUCAGGCUUGAACUCAUUUCGUGGCUCACGCGGGCCUCGCAGCCAUACUCCUGCUUAAGCCUUCUGACUCAGACCUACUCCCCUGAUUUCUCCAGGACUGCUCCUUGAGAUCCUGGCACAUAUCAGCAGGAAGCCAUGGCUGAACUACAGAGCCUCUCGUCC